This 510-nucleotide ribosomal RNA is filed under the name uncultured bacterium. RNAcentral's name for it is "partial 16S ribosomal RNA". It matches the Rfam family "Bacterial small subunit ribosomal RNA", at positions 28 to 507 of the family's 1533-position model. The record is from RNAcentral.
GACGAACGCUGGCGGCGUGCUUAACACAUGCAAGUCGAACGAAGAGCGAUGGAAGCUUGCUUCUAUCAAUCUUAGUGGCGCACGGGUGAGUAACGCGUAAUCAACCUGCCCUUCAGAGGGGGACAACAGUUGGAAACGACUGCUAAUACCGCAUACGAUCUAACCUCGGCAUCGAGGAUGGAUGAAAGGUGGCCUCUAUUUAUAAGCUAUCACUGAAGGAGGGGAUUGCGUCUGAUUAGCUAGUUGGAGGGGUAACGGCCCACCAAGGCGAGGAUCAGUAGCCGGUCUGAGAGGAUGAACGGCCACAUUGGGACUGAGACACGGCCCAGACUCCUACGGGAGGCAGCAGUGGGGAAUCUUCCGCAAUGGACGAAAGUCUGACGGAGCAACGCCGCGUGAGUGAGGACGGCCUUCGGGUUGUAAAGCUCUGUUAAUCGGGACGAAAGGCCUUCUUGCGAAUAGUUAGAAGGAUUGACGGUACCGGAAGAGAAAGCCACGGCUAACUACGUG